CCUACGGGAGGCAGCAGUAGGGAAUCUUUCACAAUGGGCGAAAGCCUGAUGGAGCAACGCCGCGUGCAGGAUGAAGGCCUUCGGGUUGUACACUGCUUUUAUAAGCGAGAAAUAUGAUGGUAACUUAUGAAUAAGGAUCGGCUAACUACGUGCCAGCAGCCGCGGUCAUACGUAGGAUCCGAGCAUUAUCCGGAGUGACUGGGUGUAAAGAGUUGCGUAGGUGGCAUAAUAAGUAGCUAGUGAAAUCUGGUGGCUCAACCAUUCAGACUAUUAGCUAAACUGUUAAGCUCGAGACCGUUAGGGGUAACUGGAAUGUCUAGUGUAGGAGUGAAAUCCGUAGAUAUUAGAAGGAACACCAAUAGCGUAGGCAGGUUGCUGGGACGGUUCUGACACUAAGGCACGAAAGCGUAGGGAGCAAACGGGAUUAGAUACCCCUGUAGUC
RNAcentral lists this ribosomal RNA (442 nucleotides) under uncultured bacterium. RNAcentral describes it as "partial 16S ribosomal RNA". It matches the Rfam family "Bacterial small subunit ribosomal RNA", at positions 338 to 795 of the family's 1533-position model. The record is from RNAcentral.